RNAcentral lists this long non-coding RNA (940 nucleotides) under Crocodylus porosus (Australian saltwater crocodile). RNAcentral describes it as "lncRNA (ENSCPRG00005008018.1)". The record is from RNAcentral. Lineage: Eukaryota; Metazoa; Chordata; Crocodylia; Crocodylidae.
GAGGUGGACUAGCAGGGAAAGAAUUUUAAAAAGUGAUCAGCAUAAGAUCUUGUCACUUCUCUAAUAUUACUUGCAUCCUUUUCAGCACUUUUUACUGUUUUCCCCCAACUGGAUAUAUUUUUGAACUGCUGACACUUUAUUUUGGAUUUUGUUUAGGGAACUACCCAGUUUGAUCUUCAAAACAGAACUUGCUUUUUAAUGUGGAUGAGACAAGCGUUUGCCAAGGAAAUGACAGUUGCUUCAAGCAAUGUAACACUGUGUUGUGGGAGCUGAGAGAUGGGAAAACAGGAUAACAUGAGACAUGAGGAAGACAGUUUCAAAUGUUGGAGGGGAAGAGCAGGAUCUUUCAAACACUUCCUGAAACUUGUGCCUCCUCCAAGAUGUCUGCCAUAGUAGUGCUUCUUCUGAUAUCUAUAUAGAGGUGAGAAAAUCCCUGUUUAAAGCUGCAGCCAGCAAGGGAAACAACUCGCCUACCUCGCCAGAACCAGCAACAGCAGGAGACUGGAAGCUGCUGAGGGAGCCUCGUUUUAUUAGCAGCUAUUCAGUCUGGACUGGACUGCCCUGCAGCUGUGCCGGUAUUUCUGGCCCACUGCUGAGACUGGAAGGUGGGCGGGACAGACUCGGAGGGAAACCCCAAUGCGGGAGCAUCAGGAUGCUAGAGCAGAGAUUCUGGGAGCUGGGGAGAGGGCUGCCUUUCAGCCCGGGGGAGAGCCAGGAGCUCUUUCAAUAAAGUUCUGUUAGCAUUUUCUUUUACUUUUGUUUUCACUGAAGUGAAGCCUAUUAGUCUUAGUAUGCUAGGGGUAUGGACAAAUGUAAAUUUUAGCUGCUUUAAAAGUGAGGGAAGAACUUGCUCAGGAGCUGUUACGUUAUGUGACCUUUGCAUGAUCCUGGAGCAGUUGUGAGCAAAAUACAACCCACAGGCUGGAUCCAGUCCACCAGA